Molecule: transfer RNA, 74 nt
Filed under: Menura novaehollandiae (superb lyrebird)
Lineage: Eukaryota; Metazoa; Chordata; Aves; Passeriformes; Menuridae
Also listed under: 9 other names
Rfam family: tRNA
About the family: Transfer RNA (tRNA) molecules are approximately 80 nucleotides in length.
Source: Rfam by way of RNAcentral
AAGAAAGAAGCAUAAGUGGUUUGAUGCAGUUGGCUUGAAACCAGCGUAUGAGGGUUCGAUUCCUUCCUUUCUUG